UAGGAAAUCUUCGGCAAUGGGGGGAACCCUGACCGAGCAACGCCGCGUGAGUGAAGAAGGUUUUCGGAUCGUAAAGCUCUGUUGUUAAGGAAGAACGAGUGUGAGAAUGGAAAGUUCAUGCUGUGACGGUACUAACCAGAAAGGGACGGCUAACUACGUGCCAGCAGCCGCGGUAAUACGUAGGUCCCGAGCGUUGUCCGGAUUUAUUGGGCGUAAAGCGAGCGCAGGCGGUUAGAAAAGUCUGAAGUGAAAGGCAGUGGCUCAACCAUUGUAGGCUUUGGAAACUGUUUAACUUGAGUGCAGAAGGGGAGAGUGGAAUUCCAUGUGUAGCGGUGAAAUGCGUAGAUAUAUGGAGGAACACCGGUGGCGAAAGCGGCUCUCUGGUCUGUAACUGGCGCUGAGGCUCGAAAGCGUGGGGAGCGAACAGG
Molecule: ribosomal RNA, 428 nt
Filed under: Bacteroidota bacterium
Lineage: Bacteria; Pseudomonadati; Bacteroidota
Description: Bacteroidetes bacterium partial 16S ribosomal RNA
Rfam family: Bacterial small subunit ribosomal RNA
Source: RNAcentral